Nicotiana attenuata is the source of this 96-nucleotide microRNA precursor. It matches the Rfam family "MIR6152 microRNA precursor family". NCBI's taxonomy places the organism in Eukaryota, Viridiplantae, Streptophyta, Magnoliopsida, Solanales, Solanaceae. The record is from Rfam.
UGGACAAAUUAUUGUAUUCGACCGUAUUCACGACGUGAAAUAGAGGAUUACACUGUUUUUAAACGAAAAGUGAAUCAAUUAACGUAAUAGACUCCU